This is a long non-coding RNA of Cyprinodon variegatus (sheepshead minnow), 1167 nucleotides long. RefSeq lists it as uncharacterized. The record is from RefSeq and is a predicted model, not a curated record. The transcript has 3 exons. Lineage: Eukaryota; Metazoa; Chordata; Actinopteri; Cyprinodontiformes; Cyprinodontidae.
UUUGCUGCUGUAGUUUGAUACAUUUAAACGCCAGAAAUUGUAGGAAUUCUUAGUUUUGAUGCUUAUAAUACUCCAUUUAAAAGUCCAGUCGCCAAUCAGAAGGAGAAAAACUAUCUGCUAAUUCCUAUAUUUGGAUGAUUGAUCGGUGCAAACAAUAGCUGGUCGUUUGUCUCCAAUGACUGUUUCAUAUGACGCACACUCACAACUAUUUAUUCAAUAAUACCCCAUAUGGACAAGAAAACAAAGUCUGCAGAGCAUGUUUCCGUUUGUUUUGGUGACUUUUCUAAGUAUCAGCUAUGUUUUCUAUAAUGAACAAUGAAACAAAAAGCAGAAAACGCAUUUCUAAAAUGAUUUAGGUUCAACAAACUAAUUAUCAUGCAGUAGAAUUGCAUCUUCUCCUGUUCGAGUCUAUUUCCUCCUUUUUGAUCAGGUCUUUGUUCUUAACAUGUUUUCUACUGCAGGACAGAAAGUGAAAACUAAGUGAGGUGAGCGCAGCAAAGCAGGAUCAGCUGAUGAGCGAAACAAAGAAGCGGCUCUGGUGCGUCUCUGGUCACCGCGAACAGGAAGAGGUGUCCAGACAAAAGCGUCACUGUCCUCAUCUGUUAGAAUAGACACUAAAAAGCAUUCAUCUUUUCUCCACAUCUGAAAUAUUUCAUCUUGGGAACCCCUUUUUCCAAUACGCUUAUUAGACUGUGUUUUAUUUAUUUUUUUCGCAAGCCAACAACAACCCAACAAAAGAGCUCGACGCAACAGAAGCGCAACAGUGUGGCUGAGCUGCUUUUACUGUUUCUGCAUUGUGACAGUGAACCCAACACGGCACCAGAACCCAAAUCUUCCUCACAGAUGCAAUAAUAAAAACAUUGUUGUGCUGGAGUUGGAUCUACUCACCACCUGAGACAGAUCAAAGCGCAGCUCGGGGUAAACCAGUGAUUGUCUUCGUCCCAGGGUCUGGUCCACGUGUGAUGCUGCCAGACUGUCCUCGUUACUUUGGAGAGGUGGACGUCACCACGUGGGAGGAGAAAGGCUCUGAUUGACAGCCAAGUUAACCAAUGGACGACUGUGUAGCCUUUAUGGACCCGUAGGACAAAAGGCAAUUUUCUUUUACAAAAUAAGAGUUCUCGACCUUAUUUUUUUUAGUAAGACCCUAAAACAGAUUGGUGAAUAAGA